This 1476-nucleotide ribosomal RNA is filed under the name Triticum aestivum (bread wheat). RNAcentral describes it as "partial small subunit ribosomal RNA". Lineage: Eukaryota; Viridiplantae; Streptophyta; Magnoliopsida; Poales; Poaceae. The record is from RNAcentral.
AUGCGCGCACAGAUGGAAACCUACGCCGACCUCGGCCCCGACGGCGGCAACCCUGCUCCGGCGAAGCCGGCCAUGGAGGAACCACGCGCCGCCACCGAGGUCGUUGCGGACCCCUACCUCGCCGGCACCGACGCGCUCCCCGCCCCCCACCCGGGUACUGCCGCCGGCGCGAGGAAGCGGAAGGCCCCGGCUAUGGCGAUGGGGAAGGCUGCCAGGAAGCCUCGCAAGCCGCAGGUUGAAGAACCGAUUCAGAUGCCUGUGUACUAUGGACUUAGAAAAGAGUUUCUCAGCGUGGAGGGCAAUGAUUUAGUUGAGGAUUGCUCAGACCUUUUUGCAGAGAACAAAUGUGCGCGUGUCAUCGGCGAGCUACAGCUGCAGCCACAGUCCAUGUCACUGGUGGAUCUGCAGCUCUGGGUCUUCAAGCUGUUCCGGCUCCAUCCAGAAACACAAGAUAUUGAUAUUAAGGGAUUCUUCAAACAACACAAAAGGGACCUCACUGACGACGAGUCCUCCGAACCAGACUGUUCUUUGGAGUACUACCCGUGGGACAUACAUUAUUUUAGGACUGACAAAUGCUGGAGUUCCUUUGCCAAUAAAUUGAAGAGAAAAAGGAAUGUGACACAGAGGUUCAUGUUGUAUGUGCAAUCUUCUGAGGUCAAGCACUACCACAUUUUGCUCAAAGCUGUAAAUGGCGAUUAUUCUCAACUGGCGACGGUUGUGUUGCCCGGGACGAAAAGCCUGACGGGUCGCUUCGGCUUUGGUGCCUUUGUGGAAGACCCAACAAUGACAGCUGAGGAAAUUGCAGAUUAUCUCACUCGUCACUAUGGCGAGCGGAUUAGUCCUGUUGAGGCGUGGAGAGCAAAACAGUUUGCUCUGGAGAGUAAAUUUGGAACCUUCUAUGAUUCACACAACUUUGCCCCGAGGUUACUUAAGGAAAUAGCACGUAAAAACCCUGGUACUUUUGUUGACAUCAAGGAUGCAGAGGUUGCAGGGUGUGAAGAUUUUCGAGUCCUGCAGCGUAUGUUUUGGGCAUUUGGACAGUGCUUACAGGCCUUCCAUACCUGUCGCCCUGUGCUAUGCAUCAAGGGCACACCACUAUGUGGGAAAUAUCAAGGGAUGCUGUUGACUGCUGUAGCAUUAGAUGCUAAUGAUUUCUCCAUUCCAGUAGCAUGUGCUGUUGUCGAGGAUGAGACCAAGGAAAGCUGGCUGUGGUUUCUUAGGAAUUUGGAGCGAGCAGUGGUGCAUCAGUCUGAUGUGUGCAUCAUACACGACUACAAAAAGGAGUUGAUUGAUGCUGUGGAGGACCUUCUGAAUUCCCGUGAACGACAGUGGCGUAAAGCAGAAAGCCGAUGGUGCAUGGAAGACCUUGCUGAAAACUUCUUUGCGUAUUUUGGCGAGAAGAAGCUGGUGAUGAUGUUCAAGAAACUUUGCCAGCAGAAGCGACGCCAUAAGUUCGGUAAAUCUGGAAGGAGCUAG